RNAcentral lists this ribosomal RNA (253 nucleotides) under uncultured bacterium. Its description in RNAcentral is "partial 16S ribosomal RNA". It matches the Rfam family "Bacterial small subunit ribosomal RNA", at positions 524 to 776 of the family's 1533-position model. The record is from RNAcentral.
UACGUAGGGUGCAAGCGUUGUCCGGAAUUAUUGGGCGUAAAGAGCUCGUAGGCGGUCUGUCGCGUCGGCUGUGAAAACCCGGGGCUCAACCCCGGGCCUGCAGUCGAUACGGGCAGACUAGAGUGUGGUAGGGGAGAUCGGAAUCCCUGGUGUAGCGGUGAAAUGCGCAGAUAUCAGGAGGAACACCGGUGGCGAAGGCGGAUCUCUGGGCCAUUACUGACGCUGAGGAGCGAAAGCGUGGGGAGCGAACAGG